This is a long non-coding RNA of Stegostoma tigrinum, 235 nucleotides long. RefSeq lists it as uncharacterized. NCBI's taxonomy places the organism in Eukaryota, Metazoa, Chordata, Chondrichthyes, Orectolobiformes, Stegostomatidae. The transcript has 3 exons. The record is from RefSeq and is a predicted model, not a curated record.
AUUUCCCAGCUGCUUUCAGUUCUGGAUGAAGAGUCACUGGACUUAAGACCAGAAGACAUAGGAGCAGAAAUUAGAUCUCCAGCAUCUGCAGUAUUUUGCCAUCAUUUUGAUGUCCACUAAUCUGAAUUUGCCUAAUCAUGCCAAGUGCUUUGGCCCCAGUGAGAAUUGAACCCCAUGAUGCUGGCGUUUACCUGAUCUACAUGCUAACUCUCCAGUCAACUGAGCUAACUGGCAC